GUUUCAACCUAUGAACUCGUAUGUUUCCACUCAACUUAAGGAGUGUAAGAAGCUACCACUGAAACUGAUGGGGGUAACCAUGUGGUUACAGGCAAAUGAGCACUCACCAUGUGGAUAUACGUCUGUGGCUGCCAACAUGUUACAGGAGCUUGGAGAGAAGUUGAAGCUCCUUACAAGUAUGAGACUGGUUUCCCUCAGGGACUUAUGAAUGCUAACCUGUAGCUGGAGAGAACUCGCUGAGAGGGCUGAUUACCGUAAAUGGCACCAGAAGUCACUAGGGUACAAAAGUAUGAGGUCCAGGAGAAGCCAGGCCUUAGAGAAGAUUAAGAGUGGUGCUCCAGGGUUCAAAUGUACAGAGUAUGAAACCACUGCCAUCAGAAAAGAACGACACAUGAAAAGCUUUGCUCUACCAGCCUGUGCUACAAAGGAAAAAUGAAAACCUGAGACAGCAUCAAACAUGCCUGUAGGAAGUAAAGAGAAGAGCAAACAUCCAAGGUGAAAGAAGUGGAGUUUGACAAACCAAUUAUUUUCUGGCAUUAUGGUGAUCACAGAGAAGAAACUUUCUCCAAGACAUGGAAAGUUCAGGCUGCCAUGACUGUCACACCAGAGCUGACAUAUGGCAAACUUCAGAUCCCAGUGGUCAAGAAAGCAGGCAGAGGACAAAGAAGAGUGCACUGUGGGUUGAAUGAUGGCUUAUCUUUCGUUUAUAUCUUUCUGAGUAUCUUCCUGUUUGAUGAAGCUGCUGCAGUCUCCCAUGUGGGGGUUUCUAUACCAAUAUAUUUAGCCCUUCUCCAGAUCUCUCUACAGUUGGAAUGUUCCCCCCUGGACAUGGCAGCAUGUGUCUUCCUAGCAGCAACACCGUAACAGUGAUGUUUAAUCAGGAAAGAGGUCAG
RNAcentral lists this long non-coding RNA (893 nucleotides) under Calidris pugnax (ruff). RNAcentral describes it as "lncRNA (ENSCPUG00000002638.1)". Lineage: Eukaryota; Metazoa; Chordata; Aves; Charadriiformes; Scolopacidae. The record is from RNAcentral.